Molecule: ribosomal RNA, 376 nt
Filed under: uncultured bacterium
Lineage: Bacteria
Description: bacterial SSU rRNA
Rfam family: Bacterial small subunit ribosomal RNA
Source: RNAcentral
UACGUAGGGAGCAAGCGUUGUCCGGAAUUACUGGGCGUAAAGGGCGCGUAGGCGGGAUAUUAAGUUAGGUGUGAAAACUCUGGGCUCAACUCAGAGACUGCACUUAAAACUGGUAUUCUUGAGGACAGGAGAGGAAAGUGGAAUUCCUAGUGUAGCGGUGAAAUGCGUAGAUAUUAGGAGGAACACCAGUGGCGAAGGCGACUUUCUGGACUGUAACUGACGCUGAGGCGCGAAAGCGUGGGGAGUGAACGGGAUUAGAUACCCCGGUAAUCCACGCUGUAAACGAUGGGUACUAGGUGUAGGAGGUAUCGACCCCUUCUGUGCCGGUGUUAACGCAAUAAGUACCCCGCCUGGGGAGUACGGCCGCAAGGUUGAA